GAACGCCUCUAAGUCAGAAUCCGUGCUGGAAGCGAUGAUGUUGGUCCCGCACUUAUUACGUGUGUUCAAAUAGAGCUUUGUCUCGUACACCAUACUUGGUAGGUUCCUCAGGGCAGCGGAAAGGCUGGUUCUGUGGUCUACGGAUUGCAAUUGAAAUAUGGGCGGGGGUAAAUCCUUUGCAGACGACUUAAAUUGGAACGGAGUGCUGUAAGCAGUAGAGUAGCCUUGUUGCUACGAUCUGCUGAGGCUAAGCUCUU
Molecule: ribosomal RNA, 257 nt
Filed under: Tilletia controversa (dwarf bunt fungus)
Lineage: Eukaryota; Fungi; Basidiomycota; Exobasidiomycetes; Tilletiales; Tilletiaceae
Also listed under: 1 other name
Description: partial 28S ribosomal RNA
Rfam family: Eukaryotic large subunit ribosomal RNA
Source: RNAcentral